Molecule: ribosomal RNA, 468 nt
Filed under: uncultured bacterium
Lineage: Bacteria
Description: partial 16S ribosomal RNA
Rfam family: Bacterial small subunit ribosomal RNA
Source: RNAcentral
GACGAACGCUGGCGGCGUGCUUAACACAUGCAAGUCGAACGGAAAGGCCCUGCUUUUGUGGGGUGCUCGAGUGGCGAACGGGUGAGUAACACGUGAGUAACCUGCCCUUGACUUUGGGAUAACUUCAGGAAACUGGGGCUAAUAACGGAUAGGAGCUCCUGCUGCAUGGUGGGGGUUGGAAAGUUUCGGCGGUUGGGGAUGGACUCGCGGCUUAUCAGCUUGUUGGUGGGGUAGUGGCUUACCAAGGCUUUGACGGGUAGCCGGCCUGAGAGGGUGACCGGCCACAUUGGGACUGAGAUACGGCCCAGACUCCUAUGGGAGGCAGCAGUGGGGAAUAUUGCACAAUGGGCGGAAGCCUGAUGCAGCAACGCCGCGUGCGGGAUGACGGCCUUCGGGUUGUAAACCGCUUUCGCCUGUGACGAAGCGUGAGUGACGGUAAUGGGUAAAGAAGCACCGGCUAACUACGUG